This is a non-coding RNA of Schistosoma curassoni, 45 nucleotides long. Lineage: Eukaryota; Metazoa; Platyhelminthes; Trematoda; Strigeidida; Schistosomatidae. The record is from Rfam.
AUCCAUCUGACGAGUCCUAAAUAGGACGAAACACGCUCCUUGGAU